AUCCUACGGGAGGCAGCAGUGGGGAAUCUUCCGCAAUGGGCGAAAGCCUGACGGAGCAACGCCGCGUGAUCGAAUGAAGGCCUUCGGGUUGUAAAGAUCUGUUGACAGGGACGAAUAAGCAAUGCGAAUAGUUUUGUGUAUGACGGUACCUGUUUAGAAAGCUCCGGCUAACUACGUGCCAGCAGCCGCGGUAAUACGUAGGUGGCAAGCGUUAUCCGGAUUUACUGGGUGUAAAGGGCGUGUAGGCGGGAAAGCAAGUCAGAUGUGAAAACCAUGGGCUCAACCUGGGGCCUGCAUUUGAAACU
RNAcentral lists this ribosomal RNA (305 nucleotides) under uncultured bacterium. Its description in RNAcentral is "bacterial SSU rRNA". It matches the Rfam family "Bacterial small subunit ribosomal RNA", at positions 335 to 634 of the family's 1533-position model. The record is from RNAcentral.